This 492-nucleotide ribosomal RNA is filed under the name uncultured bacterium. RNAcentral's name for it is "bacterial SSU rRNA". It matches the Rfam family "Bacterial small subunit ribosomal RNA", at positions 31 to 518 of the family's 1533-position model. The record is from RNAcentral.
GAACGCUAGCGACAGGCCUAACACAUGCAAGUCGAGGGGCAGCACAAGGAGCAAUCUGAGGUGGCGACCGGCGCACGGGUGAGUAACACGUAUGCAACCUGCCUGUAAGCGGGGAAUAACCCGUUGAAAGACGGACUAAUACCGCAUAAUACUAAAUUACUGCAUGGUAAUUUAUUUAAACAUUUAUGGCUUACAGAUGGGCAUGCGCAUGAUUAGCUAGUUGGAGAGGUAACGGCUCCCCAAGGCAACGAUCAUUAGGGGUUCUGAGAGGAAGGUCCCCCACACUGGUACUGAGACACGGACCAGACUCCUACGGGAGGCAGCAGUGAGGAAUAUUGGUCAAUGGACGAGAGUCUGAACCAGCCAAGUCGCGUGCAGGAAGAAUGUCCUAUGGAUUGUAAACUGCUUUUGCAGGGGAAUAAAGUGCAUCACGUGUGAUGUUUUGUAUGUACUCUGCGAAUAAGGAUCGGCUAACUCCGUGCCAGCAGCUGC